UGGGGAAUCUUGCACAAUGGGGGCAACCCUGAUGCAGCGACGCCGCGUGAGCGAUGAAGCCCUUCGGGGCGUAAAGCUCUUUCGACCGGAACGAUAAUGACGGUACCGGGAGAAGAAGCUGCGGCUAACUACGUGCCAGCAGCCGCGGUAAUACGUAGGCAGCAAGCGUUGUUCGGAGUUACUGGGCGUAAAGAGUGCGUAGGCGGUUUUCUAAGUUCGGUGUGAAAUCUCCCGGCUUAACUGGGAGGGUGCGCCGAAGACUGGGAAGCUGGAGUGUGGGAAAGGCAGGCGGAAUUCCUGGUGUAGCGGUGAAAUGCGUAGAUAUCAGGAGGAACACCGGCGGUUUAGACGGCUUGCUAGACCAUAACUGACGCUGAGGCACGAAAGCGUGGGUAGCAAACA
RNAcentral lists this ribosomal RNA (402 nucleotides) under uncultured bacterium. Its description in RNAcentral is "bacterial SSU rRNA". It matches the Rfam family "Bacterial small subunit ribosomal RNA", at positions 355 to 774 of the family's 1533-position model. The record is from RNAcentral.